UCUGGCUCAGGGUCGGUUGACAUCCAUCGGGCGUGGCACGUCCGAAGCUGGACCGCAUCGGGCUGUCGUCUCCGCCUAACAGCGGACGUGCAGCCUCAGAGUUUACCGUGCGGAGUUUGCAACGACUCAACUCUUGGACCUAAUCAGUCUGGGUUGGCCUGUCUGCUGGCCGCAUGUGUAGGGUGCCAGCGCUUUCUGCCCGCCUGCCGCCUCAA
Molecule: unclassified non-coding RNA, 215 nt
Filed under: Paraeuchaeta media
Lineage: Eukaryota; Metazoa; Arthropoda; Copepoda; Calanoida; Euchaetidae
Description: partial ITS2
Source: RNAcentral